This 2903-nucleotide ribosomal RNA is filed under the name Escherichia coli. RNAcentral's name for it is "bacterial LSU rRNA". It matches the Rfam family "Bacterial large subunit ribosomal RNA". Lineage: Bacteria; Pseudomonadati; Pseudomonadota; Gammaproteobacteria; Enterobacterales; Enterobacteriaceae. The record is from RNAcentral.
UUAAGCGACUAAGCGUACACGGUGGAUGCCCUGGCAGUCAGAGGCGAUGAAGGACGUGCUAAUCUGCGAUAAGCGUCGGUAAGGUGAUAUGAACCGUUAUAACCGGCGAUUUCCGAAUGGGGAAACCCAGUGUGUUUCGACACACUAUCAUUAACUGAAUCCAUAGGUUAAUGAGGCGAACCGGGGGAACUGAAACAUCUAAGUACCCCGAGGAAAAGAAAUCAACCGAGAUUCCCCCAGUAGCGGCGAGCGAACGGGGAGCAGCCCAGAGCCUGAAUCAGUGUGUGUGUUAGUGGAAGCGUCUGGAAAGGCGCGCGAUACAGGGUGACAGCCCCGUACACAAAAAUGCACAUACUGUGAGCUCGAUGAGUAGGGCGGGACACGUGGUAUCCUGUCUGAAUAUGGGGGGACCAUCCUCCAAGGCUAAAUACUCCUGACUGACCGAUAGUGAACCAGUACCGUGAGGGAAAGGCGAAAAGAACCCCGGCGAGGGGAGUGAAAAAGAACCUGAAACCGUGUACGUACAAGCAGUGGGAGCACGCUUCGGCGUGUGACUGCGUACCUUUUGUAUAAUGGGUCAGCGACUUAUAUUCUGUAGCAAGGUUAACCGAAUAGGGGAGCCGAAGGGAAACCGAGUCUUAACUGGGCGUUAAGUUGCAGGGUAUAGACCCGAAACCCGGUGAUCUAGCCAUGGGCAGGUUGAAGGUUGGGUAACACUAACUGGAGGACCGAACCGACUAAUGUUGAAAAAUUAGCGGAUGACUUGUGGCUGGGGGUGAAAGGCCAAUCAAACCGGGAGAUAGCUGGUUCUCCCCGAAAGCUAUUUAGGUAGCGCCUCGUGAAUUCAUCUCCGGGGGUAGAGCACUGUUUCGGCAAGGGGGUCAUCCCGACUUACCAACCCGAUGCAAACUGCGAAUACCGGAGAAUGUUAUCACGGGAGACACACGGCGGGUGCUAACGUCCGUCGUGAAGAGGGAAACAACCCAGACCGCCAGCUAAGGUCCCAAAGUCAUGGUUAAGUGGGAAACGAUGUGGGAAGGCCCAGACAGCCAGGAUGUUGGCUUAGAAGCAGCCAUCAUUUAAAGAAAGCGUAAUAGCUCACUGGUCGAGUCGGCCUGCGCGGAAGAUGUAACGGGGCUAAACCAUGCACCGAAGCUGCGGCAGCGACACUAUGUGUUGUUGGGUAGGGGAGCGUUCUGUAAGCCUGUGAAGGUGUACUGUGAGGUAUGCUGGAGGUAUCAGAAGUGCGAAUGCUGACAUAAGUAACGAUAAAGCGGGUGAAAAGCCCGCUCGCCGGAAGACCAAGGGUUCCUGUCCAACGUUAAUCGGGGCAGGGUGAGUCGACCCCUAAGGCGAGGCCGAAAGGCGUAGUCGAUGGGAAACAGGUUAAUAUUCCUGUACUUGGUGUUACUGCGAAGGGGGGACGGAGAAGGCUAUGUUGGCCGGGCGACGGUUGUCCCGGUUUAAGCGUGUAGGCUGGUUUUCCAGGCAAAUCCGGAAAAUCAAGGCUGAGGCGUGAUGACGAGGCACUACGGUGCUGAAGCAACAAAUGCCCUGCUUCCAGGAAAAGCCUCUAAGCAUCAGGUAACAUCAAAUCGUACCCCAAACCGACACAGGUGGUCAGGUAGAGAAUACCAAGGCGCUUGAGAGAACUCGGGUGAAGGAACUAGGCAAAAUGGUGCCGUAACUUCGGGAGAAGGCACGCUGAUAUGUAGGUGAAGUCCCUCGCGGAUGGAGCUGAAAUCAGUCGAAGAUACCAGCUGGCUGCAACUGUUUAUUAAAAACACAGCACUGUGCAAACACGAAAGUGGACGUAUACGGUGUGACGCCUGCCCGGUGCCGGAAGGUUAAUUGAUGGGGUUAGCGGUAACGCGAAGCUCUUGAUCGAAGCCCCGGUAAACGGCGGCCGUAACUAUAACGGUCCUAAGGUAGCGAAAUUCCUUGUCGGGUAAGUUCCGACCUGCACGAAUGGCGUAAUGAUGGCCAGGCUGUCUCCACCCGAGACUCAGUGAAAUUGAACUCGCUGUGAAGAUGCAGUGUACCCGCGGCAAGACGGAAAGACCCCGUGAACCUUUACUAUAGCUUGACACUGAACAUUGAGCCUUGAUGUGUAGGAUAGGUGGGAGGCUUUGAAGUGUGGACGCCAGUCUGCAUGGAGCCGACCUUGAAAUACCACCCUUUAAUGUUUGAUGUUCUAACGUUGACCCGUAAUCCGGGUUGCGGACAGUGUCUGGUGGGUAGUUUGACUGGGGCGGUCUCCUCCUAAAGAGUAACGGAGGAGCACGAAGGUUGGCUAAUCCUGGUCGGACAUCAGGAGGUUAGUGCAAUGGCAUAAGCCAGCUUGACUGCGAGCGUGACGGCGCGAGCAGGUGCGAAAGCAGGUCAUAGUGAUCCGGUGGUUCUGAAUGGAAGGGCCAUCGCUCAACGGAUAAAAGGUACUCCGGGGAUAACAGGCUGAUACCGCCCAAGAGUUCAUAUCGACGGCGGUGUUUGGCACCUCGAUGUCGGCUCAUCACAUCCUGGGGCUGAAGUAGGUCCCAAGGGUAUGGCUGUUCGCCAUUUAAAGUGGUACGCGAGCUGGGUUUAGAACGUCGUGAGACAGUUCGGUCCCUAUCUGCCGUGGGCGCUGGAGAACUGAGGGGGGCUGCUCCUAGUACGAGAGGACCGGAGUGGACGCAUCACUGGUGUUCGGGUUGUCAUGCCAAUGGCACUGCCCGGUAGCUAAAUGCGGAAGAGAUAAGUGCUGAAAGCAUCUAAGCACGAAACUUGCCCCGAGAUGAGUUCUCCCUGACUCCUUGAGAGUCCUGAAGGAACGUUGAAGACGACGACGUUGAUAGGCCGGGUGUGUAAGCGCAGCGAUGCGUUGAGCUAACCGGUACUAAUGAACCGUGAGGCUUAACCUU